GUUAAGUGCUUGCAUUUAAUUGCUUUAACAUUGAGACGAGUGGCGAACUGGUGAGUAACACGUCGUGUAACCUGCCCUUGAAGUAGGGGAUAACACUUGGAAACAGGUGCUAAUACCGUAUAACAACCAAAACCACCUGGUUUUGGUUUAAAAGAUGGCUUCGGCUAUCACUUUAGGAUGGACCCGCGGCGUAUUAGCUUGUUGGUAAGGUAACGGCCUACCAAGGCAAUGAUACGUAGCCGACCUGAGAGGGUAAUCGGCCACAUUGGGACUGAGACACGGCCCAAACUCCUACGGGAGGCAGCAGUAGGGAAUCUUCCACAAUGGACGAAAGUCUGAUGGAGCAACGCCGCGUGAGUGAUGAAGGGUUUCGGCUCGUAAAACUCUGUUGUUGGAGAAGAACAGGUGUGAGAGUAACUGUUCACAUCUUGACGGUAUCCAACCAGAAAGCCACGGCUAACUACGUGCCAGCAGCCGCGGUAAUACGUAGGUGGCAAGCGUUGUCCGGAUUUAUUGGGCGUAAAGCGAGCGCAGGCGGUUUCUUAGGUCUGAUGUGAAAGCCUUCGGCUUAACCGGAGAAGUGCAUCGGAAACCAGGAGACUUGAGUGCAGAAGAGGACAGUGGAACUCCAUGUGUAGCGGUGAAAUGCGUAGAUAUAUGGAAGAACACCAGUGGCGAAGGCGGCUGUCUGGUCUGUAACUGACGCUGAGGCUCGAAAGCAUGGGUAGCGAACAGGAUUAGAUACCCUGGUAGUCCAUGCCGUANACGAUGAGUGCUAAGUGUUGGAGGGUUUCCGCCCUUCAGUACUGCAGCUAACGCAUUAAGCACUCCGCCUGGGGAGUAC
This 844-nucleotide ribosomal RNA is filed under the name uncultured bacterium. Its description in RNAcentral is "bacterial SSU rRNA". It matches the Rfam family "Bacterial small subunit ribosomal RNA", at positions 61 to 883 of the family's 1533-position model. The record is from RNAcentral.